UUUCACAUAGCAAAGUAACACAGUCUC
This 27-nucleotide non-coding RNA is filed under the name Mus musculus (house mouse). The record is from RNAcentral. Lineage: Eukaryota; Metazoa; Chordata; Mammalia; Rodentia; Muridae.